Non-coding RNA from Pelobates cultripes (western spadefoot toad), 227 nucleotides. The record is from the annotation of a GenBank genome assembly. NCBI's taxonomy places the organism in Eukaryota, Metazoa, Chordata, Amphibia, Anura, Pelobatidae.
AUGUGUAUUCCUAAUUCUGUAGUGCAAUUCUAACUGAUUUACUUACUUACUUUAUUCAUCGCACUGCCAGUCUUUGUACCGCUGUCCAGCCUCCAAGGCACCAAGAUCACAUUGAUAACCUCAGCCAAUCAAAUGCUUUAACUUAGCAAAACACAGUUCUGCACCAAUCAGAUGGUCUUUAAGAGAGAUUGAAAUAGCCAGGUUUUGCCCCUGAGCUAAAGUGACAG